AAAACAUCGGCUUGGUGUGUGAGAGUUAGACAAGGAAGUGGUUCAGAGCGUGGGCUCCAGAUCACAGCGAAGGGGUCUCGCAGAUCAUGUUAAAAUUCCUACAGUGGGGAAGAUGGAUGCAUCUGGGAGAGUCAGGAGUCCUUCCAAUCACCAGUGACCUGUGUGAGAGUGACAAAGAACAAGACGGAUGAUGGCAAAGAUGCCAGGGAGAGCCUAUGCUGUAUGAUUUGUCAUUAAGCUUUCAUUUCAUGGAAGAAUGUAUCAUGAGAUUCACACUCACAUACAAGGACAAUUUAAGGUUCAUUUGUGAACUUACAGAGGCUUCUUAAAAAAAUUAAAGAUGUCUCUC
This is a long non-coding RNA of Orcinus orca (killer whale), 349 nucleotides long. RefSeq lists it as uncharacterized. The transcript has 3 exons. The record is from RefSeq and is a predicted model, not a curated record. Lineage: Eukaryota; Metazoa; Chordata; Mammalia; Artiodactyla; Delphinidae.